This 468-nucleotide ribosomal RNA is filed under the name uncultured bacterium. Its description in RNAcentral is "partial 16S ribosomal RNA". It matches the Rfam family "Bacterial small subunit ribosomal RNA", at positions 28 to 507 of the family's 1533-position model. The record is from RNAcentral.
GACGAACGCUGGCGGCGUGCUUAACACAUGCAAGUCGAACGGAAAGGCCCUGCUUUUGUGGGGUGCUCGAGUGGCGAACGGGUGAGUAACACGUGAGUAACCUGCCCUUGACUUUGGGAUAACUUCAGGAAACUGGGGCUAAUACCGGAUAGGAGCUCCUGCUGCAUGGUGGGGGUUGGAAAGUUUCGGCGGUUGGGGAUGGACUCGCGGCUUAUCAGCUUGUUGGUGGGGUAGUGGCUUACCAAGGCUUUGACGGGUAGCCGGCCUGGGAGGGUGACCGGCCACAUUGGGACUGCGAGACGGCCCAGACUCCUACGGGAGGCAGCAGUGGGGAAUAUGGCACAGUGGGCGGAAGCCUGAUGCAGCAACGUUGGGUGCGGGAUGACGGCCUUCGGGUUGUAAACCGCUUUCGCCUGUGACGAAGCGUGAGUGACGGUAAUGGGUAAAGAAGCACCGGCUAACUACGUG